UGAACACGGAGCUUGCUCUGUGGGACAAGUGGCGAACGGGUGAGUAACACGUGAGCAACCUGCCCCUGACUCUGGGAUAAGCGCUGGAAACGGCGUCUAAUACUGGAUACGAGUAGCGACCGCAUGGUCAGUUACUGGAAAGAUUUUUUGGUUGGGGAUGGGCUCGCGGCCUAUCAGCUUGUUGGUGAGGUAAUGGCUCACCAAGGCGUCGACGGGUAGCCGGCCUGAGAGGGUGACCGGCCACACUGGGACUGAGACACGGCCCAGACUCCUACGGGAGGCAGCAGUGGGGAAUAUUGCACAAUGGGCGAAAGCCUGAUGCAGCAACGCCGCGUGAGGGAUGACGGCCUUCGGGUUGUAAACCUCUUUUAGCAGGGAAGAAGCGAAAGUGACGGUACCUGCAGAAAAAGCGCCGGCUAACUACGUGCCAGCAGCCGCGGUAAUACGUAGGGCGCAAGCGUUAUCCGGAAUUAUUGGGCGUAAAGAGCUCGUAGGCGGUUUGUCGCGUCUGCUGUGAAAUCCCGAGGCUCAACCUCGGGCCUGCAGUGGGUACGGGCAGACUAGAGUGCGGUAGGGGAGAUUGGAAUUCCUGGUGUAGCGGUGGAAUGCGCAGAUAUCAGGAGGAACACCGAUGGCGAAGGCAGAUCUCUGGGCCGUAACUGACGCUGAGGAGCGAAAGGGUGGGGAGCAAACAGGCUUAGAUACCCUGGUAGUCCACCCCGUAAACGUUGGGAACUAGUUGUGGGGUCCAUUCCACGGAUUCCGUGACGCAGCUAACGCAUUAAGUUCCCCGCCUGGGGAGUACGGCCGCAAGGCUAAAACUCAAAGGAAUUGACGGGGACCCGCACAAGCGGCGGAGCAUGCGGAUUAAUUCGAUGCAACGCGAAGAACCUUACCAAGGCUUGACAUAUACGAGAACGGGCCAGAAAUGGUCAACUCUUUGGACACUCGUAAACAGGUGGUGCAUGGUUGUCGUCAGCUCGUGUCGUGAGAUGUUGGGUUAAGUCCCGCAACGAGCGCAACCCUCGUUCUAUGUUGCCAGCACGUAAUGGUGGGAACUCAUGGGAUACUGCCGGGGUCAACUCGGAGGAAAGGUGGGGAUGACGUCAAAUCAUCAUGCCCCUUAUGUCUUGGGCUUCACGCAUGCUACAAUGGCCGGUACAAAGGGCUGCAAUACCGCGAGGUGGAGCGAAUCCCAAAAAGCCGGUCCCAGUUCGGAUUGAGGUCUGCAACUCGACCUCAUGAAGUCGGAGUCGCUAGUAAUCGCAGAUCAGCAACGCUGCGGUGAAUACGUUCCCGGGUCUUGUACACACCGCCCGUCAAGUCAUGAAAGU
This 1334-nucleotide ribosomal RNA is filed under the name Microbacterium sp. MIC. RNAcentral's name for it is "bacterial SSU rRNA". It matches the Rfam family "Bacterial small subunit ribosomal RNA", at positions 68 to 1411 of the family's 1533-position model. Lineage: Bacteria; Bacillati; Actinomycetota; Actinomycetes; Micrococcales; Microbacteriaceae. The record is from RNAcentral.